RNAcentral lists this transfer RNA (73 nucleotides) under Globisporangium ultimum DAOM BR144. RNAcentral's name for it is "Pythium ultimum DAOM BR144 tRNA". It matches the Rfam family "tRNA". Rfam says of the family: Transfer RNA (tRNA) molecules are approximately 80 nucleotides in length. Their secondary structure includes four short double-helical elements and three loops (D, anti-codon, and T loops). Further hydrogen bonds mediate the characteristic L-shaped molecular structure. tRNAs have two regions of fundamental functional importance: the anti-codon, which is responsible for specific mRNA codon recognition, and the 3' end, to which the tRNAs corresponding amino acid is attached (by aminoacyl-tRNA synthetases). tRNAs cope with the degeneracy of the genetic code in two manners: having more than one tRNA (with a specific anti-codon) for a particular amino acid; and 'wobble' base-pairing, i.e. permitting non-standard base-pairing at the 3rd anti-codon position. The record is from Rfam by way of RNAcentral. Lineage: Eukaryota; Oomycota; Peronosporomycetes; Pythiales; Pythiaceae.
GCCCCUGUAGCUCAAUGGCUCGAGCCCCACGUUUCUACGUGGGAAGUUAAGAGUUCAAAUCCCUCCAAGAGCA